GAAUGUAAUAAUGCUAAGACUUUGAAAUUUUUCGGUCCUAAAUAAAAAUUUAUUAUAAAACAAGGUGAAGCAUUUAAAAAAAAAAAAAAAAAAGAGAAAAAAACCUUUAUCAAGUAUUAUAUAAGAUUAUAGCUAUAUGAUUCUUAUUGUAGUAAGAGAAAUUAAUUUUCCAACACAUCAUCUUCUUUGGUAACCAUGCUCCUUAUUUUGUAGUUGAGUUAUUUUUUCAAAUAAUAUUAAAUAGUAUUUUUAGAUUCUCUAUAAUAUAGGCACAAUC
This 277-nucleotide long non-coding RNA is filed under the name Physcomitrium patens. Its description in RNAcentral is "long non-coding RNA (PPAT_LNC012799)". The record is from RNAcentral. Lineage: Eukaryota; Viridiplantae; Streptophyta; Bryopsida; Funariales; Funariaceae.